This 499-nucleotide ribosomal RNA is filed under the name uncultured bacterium. Its description in RNAcentral is "bacterial SSU rRNA". It matches the Rfam family "Bacterial small subunit ribosomal RNA", at positions 28 to 486 of the family's 1533-position model. The record is from RNAcentral.
GACGAACGCUGGCGGCGUGCCUAAUACAUGCAAGUCGAACGCACUCUCGUUUAGAUUGAAGGAGCUUGCUCCUGAUUGAUAAACAUUUGAGUGAGUGGCGGACGGGUGAGUAACACGUGGGUAACCUGCCCUAAAGUGGGGGAUAACAUUUGGAAACAGAUGCUAAUACCGCAUAAAACCUAACACCGCAUGGUGUAGGGUUGAAAGAUGGUUUCGGCUAUCACUUUAGGAUGGACCCGCGGUGCAUUAGUUAGUUGGUGAGGUAAAGGCUCACCAAGACCGUGAUGCAUAGCCGACCUGAGAGGGUAAUCGGCCACACUGGGACUGAGACACGGCCCAGACUCCUACGGGAGGCAGCAGUAGGGAAUCUUCCACAAUGGACGAAAGUCUGAUGGAGCAACGCCGCGUGAGUGAAGAAGGUUUUCGGAUCGUAAAACUCUGUUGUUGGAGAAGAAUGUAUCUGAUUGUAACUGAUCAGGUAGUGACGGUAUCCAACCAG